AGUCUUCCCAACGUCAGGUUUCCUCUAUAAAAAGGCAGUCCUCUGUGCGCAGUUUUCCGUAUGGGUUUGCUGUGGUGUGCUUUGAGUUAACAUGAAUGCUUGUGAGUGGGAUCCAGAGAAACUGUAACAAUGUUGAAGCUAGGGAGCAAAGUGGUGCUGGUACCCGCAGAGCCAACCGGGCUCACUGCGCCCUCUGGGACCUUGGACUCUGAGGAGGAACUGAACCGUUCCUUUCGGAUUAGGCUGCCCUUCGGUCUGACUCCUGUCUGGAACCAGACUGCUCCUGGUGGAACGGUGCCUGUUGGAAGUCUGUUGGCCUUUGGUGUGACAGAGAUCAGACUCCCUCCAUCAGAGUCUGGGGGCCGUUAUCAUUUGUCCCUCUUGGCCUCGCUACCGCCCUCUUUAUGGGCAACACCUUCCGGUAAUACUAGCAGAAUGCACAGUGCACCUCCCAUCAGGAUUUCACUGGAUUUCUCAAAAUCUCUUCUUAGGAUGGAUCAAUACUUUAUAAAGAAGCCCUUCAAGGCAUCAAGGCUAUAUAUAGUAGGAGAUUACAAGGCUCGGAGCCUCAUUAUCCCCUGCACUAGUCCCUGUGAUACCACUGUUUUACCUGUGAAAGAGCCCAGUAGCUGAGGAUGGGGGUUUGUCCUCGACCUCUGAGCAAUAAAUAACAUUGUUACCGCUUGGCACCUGUU
Mustela lutreola (European mink) is the source of this 695-nucleotide long non-coding RNA. RefSeq lists it as uncharacterized. The transcript is spliced from 3 exons. The record is from RefSeq and is a predicted model, not a curated record. NCBI's taxonomy places the organism in Eukaryota, Metazoa, Chordata, Mammalia, Carnivora, Mustelidae.